Lycium barbarum (goji berry) is the source of this 85-nucleotide small nucleolar RNA. RefSeq annotates it as small nucleolar RNA U54. Lineage: Eukaryota; Viridiplantae; Streptophyta; Magnoliopsida; Solanales; Solanaceae. The record is from RefSeq and is a predicted model, not a curated record. The transcript has a single exon.
AGCUCAAUGAUUGUAUGCCUUUUGGGCAAUAUACGCUAUGCCGAUUUAAAUCAUGAGUAGAUGAAUUUUUACAAGUAUGAGAGCU